AUUGAACGCUGGCGGCAGGCCUAACACAUGCAAGUCGAGCGGAUGAAGGGAGCUUGCUCCUGGAUUCAGCGGCGGACGGGUGAGUAAUGCCUAGGAAUCUGCCUGGUAGUGGGGGAUAACGUCCGGAAACGGGCGCUAAUACCGCAUACGUCCUGAGGGAGAAAGUGGGGGAUCUUCGGACCUCACGCUAUCAGAUGAGCCUAGGUCGGAUUAGCUAGUUGGUGGGGUAAAGGCCUACCAAGGCGACGAUCCGUAACUGGUCUGAGAGGAUGAUCAGUCACACUGGAACUGAGACACGGUCCAGACUCCUACGGGAGGCAGCAGUGGGGAAUAUUGGACAAUGGGCGAAAGCCUGAUCCAGCCAUGCCGCGUGUGUGAAGAAGGUCUUCGGAUUGUAAAGCACUUUGAGUUGGGAGGAAGGGCAGUAAGUUAAUACCUUGCUGCUUUGACGUUACCAACAGAAUAAGCACCGGCUAACUUCGUG
This 484-nucleotide ribosomal RNA is filed under the name uncultured bacterium. Its description in RNAcentral is "partial 16S ribosomal RNA". It matches the Rfam family "Bacterial small subunit ribosomal RNA", at positions 30 to 507 of the family's 1533-position model. The record is from RNAcentral.